Molecule: ribosomal RNA, 459 nt
Filed under: uncultured bacterium
Lineage: Bacteria
Description: bacterial SSU rRNA
Rfam family: Bacterial small subunit ribosomal RNA
Source: RNAcentral
GAUGAACGCUGGCGGCGUGCCUAAUACAUGCAAGUCGAACGGAGAUUGUAGCAAUACGGUCUUAGUGGCGAACGGGUGAGUAACGCGUUGGUAACCUGCCCCGAAGCGUGGGGAUAACGGUCCGAAAGGACCACUAAUACCACAUGUGAUCCCGAGGAAUAGAUACUUGGGAUGAAAGGAGCAAUUCGCUUCGGGAGGGACCUGCGUCCCAUCAGCUAGUUGGUAGGGUAACGGCCUACCAAGGCGAUGACGGGUAGGGGACCUGAGAGGGUGGCCCCCCACAAUGGAACUGAAACACGGUCCAUACACCUACGGGUGGCAGCAGUAGGGAAUAUUGGUUAAUGUGCGAAAGCGCGAACCAGCAACGCCGCGUGUGCGAUGAAGGCCUUCGGGUCGUAAAGCACUUUUGCAGGGAGAGGAAGGACGGUACCUGCAGAAUAAGUCUCGGCUAACUACGUG